This is a long non-coding RNA of Oryzias melastigma (Indian medaka), 1270 nucleotides long. RefSeq lists it as uncharacterized. The transcript has 2 exons. The record is from RefSeq and is a predicted model, not a curated record. Lineage: Eukaryota; Metazoa; Chordata; Actinopteri; Beloniformes; Adrianichthyidae.
ACCGGGCGGUAAUGAGAGCGCACAAGGAUGUCUGCAGGAGGCAUGCUUUCAUAGGCUGUCCUGGGUCCUCGUAACCAUGGAAAUAAGUGCCAGCGUGGAGUCACGCACUUGCAUGGAUGUGCCGCUCACCGCUCUGCCCACAACCAAUCCAUCCGCUCCUCAAGAAUGAGGGGACUCCCAGCAGCAGCUCUGCAGGAGCCAGGAAAAAUCAAUGAGCCACCGAGAAUGGCUUUGACUUGAGAGAAAAGGAGACUUCUCCUCAAUGCAGAGGGUAAAUGUUAGCAUUAAACUGUUUCACACUGUUGACUUUUCUCCAUCACAUUUCCCUGGAUUCAGGUGUGGCCAUGAGGGCAGCAGGAGAGCUGUGAGGAUAGAGCUGUGCAGGAUGCUGGGGAGGGAAAAGGGAAAGUCACAUCCACCGAGGGAGAACACAGAAGAGAAAGAAGCAAAAAAGAAGCAAAAGACGGCAUUUCAUCCAGACAGGAAACUUUGGAGGAAAAGAAACUUUGGAUCACAAAUUUUAGAGGUGCUUGUGAGGAUGGAGAGACCCUGUGGGGGUUUGUGGACUCUGCUGGUGACCAGAGGAGACAGACCCUUUCAGCUGCAGCUCCUAAACUCUGAAAUGCUCUUCUGAAACUUCCCUUACUGAUUUUAAGUCACUUUUAAAAACUCAUCUUUGUACUCAGGCUUUUAACUCCAGUGAGCAGAUCUAGUGGACCAGCUUGUUAUUGUUACUGUUAUUUUUUAUGCUUUGUUGCUUUUACUGUUUAACUGUUUUUAUUGUUUCAGUGAUUCUUUUGUUUCUUUUUUUGGAUUUGUUUCAUGAUUUUAUUCGUAUGUAUUUUCUGUCCAACACUUUGGUUGCUCCUGCUUUUAAACGUGCUAUAUAAAUAAUAAAUUGAUUUAAAUCCGCUUAAAGUGAAAGAAAAACCAGGCUCUAAAAUAAAAAGAAAUAGAAAAUUCAAAACAGUUUUCAACACAGAUCAUGGUUCAGAAAUUUCUGAUUCCGUGCAGAUUCUCCAGACACUUGUGUGUUCCCGGUGGUCUUCUAAUUAUGAUUAUACAGUUUUUAGCCAAAACCAAACAAACGCAGCUGUUUUUUUAAAGAAAGACUUUCUGCAGAGCAGCAAGAGUUCAUCAGAAACUCACCUGAAUUGAGGGCAGGACAGUUCGCUAAUUGUCCAGCAUUCCUUUGUUUAAACACUCUCAUGCUAGCAAAUAGCAAGUCACAAGCCUGAGCUAACAUUAGCGCAGCAAAAAAAAAAAACAA